UACGUAGGUGGCAAGCGUUGUCCGGAAUUAUUGGGCGUAAAGCGCGCGCAGGCGGUCACUUAAGUCUGAUGUGAAAUCUCGGGGCUCAACCUCGAGCGGUCAUUGGAAACUGAGUGACUUGAGUACAGAAGAGGAGAGUGGAAUUCCACGUGUAGCGGUGAAAUGCGUAGAGAUGUGGAGGAACACCAGUGGCGAAGGCGGCUCUCUGGUCUGUCACUGACGCUGAGGCGCGAAAGCGUGGGUAGCGAACAGG
RNAcentral lists this ribosomal RNA (253 nucleotides) under uncultured bacterium. RNAcentral's name for it is "partial 16S ribosomal RNA". It matches the Rfam family "Bacterial small subunit ribosomal RNA", at positions 524 to 776 of the family's 1533-position model. The record is from RNAcentral.